CUCGGGGAGGAGGGGUCCCUCAGCCCAGAUUGUGAGAGGGUGCAGGCCAGGCCGAGGGACCCCAUCGGUGCAGG
Molecule: microRNA precursor, 74 nt
Filed under: Myotis brandtii (Brandt's bat)
Lineage: Eukaryota; Metazoa; Chordata; Mammalia; Chiroptera; Vespertilionidae
Description: mir-9193 microRNA precursor family
Rfam family: mir-9193 microRNA precursor family
Source: Rfam by way of RNAcentral